GAUGAAGAACGUAGCGAAAUGCGAUACGUAAUGUGAAUUGCAGAAUUCAGUGAAUCAUCGAGUCUUUGAACGCACAUUGCGCCCCCUGGUAUUCCGGGGGGCAUGCCUGUCCGAGCGUCAUUGCUGCCCUCAAGCACGGCUUGUGUGUUGGGCCCCCGCCCCCCGGUUCCCGGGGGGCGGGCCCGAAAGGCAGCGGCGGCACCGCGUCCGGUCCUCGAGCGUAUGGGGCUUCGUCACCCGCUCCGUAGGCCCGGCCGGCGCCCGCCGGCGAGCCCCCCUCAAUCUUUCCAGGUUGACCUCGGAUCAGGUAGGGAUACCCGCUGAACUUAAGCAUAUCAAUAAGCGGAGGA
This 350-nucleotide unclassified non-coding RNA is filed under the name soil metagenome. RNAcentral describes it as "partial contains 5.8S ribosomal RNA, internal transcribed spacer 2, and large subunit ribosomal RNA". The stretch from base 1 to 120 matches the Rfam family "5.8S ribosomal RNA", at positions 35 to 154 of the family's 154-position model. The record is from RNAcentral.